Long non-coding RNA from Diceros bicornis minor, 1195 nucleotides. RefSeq lists it as uncharacterized. The transcript is spliced from 3 exons. The record is from RefSeq and is a predicted model, not a curated record. NCBI's taxonomy places the organism in Eukaryota, Metazoa, Chordata, Mammalia, Perissodactyla, Rhinocerotidae.
GUCUUGUUUGAUGUCGGUCCCCCCGCCCUCCCAGCCUUUCCCUAGGCUUGGAGGCCACCGGAGGCCUGGCACACAUUUCUCAGACACUUCAUUCCUUCCUUCCUCCGAGCUCCCCACUGAGAUAAUGUUGUAAAUGAUUUCACCAGAUCUCGGAUGAGAUUCAGUGGUUCCUGACUCUGAGUGACCCUGGGCGAGCCCCUCUCUUUCUUUCAUUAUGGAACGCACGCUCUGUGCCAGACAGUGUGUUAAACCCUGGGAUUAUCACGAUGAGAGAUACAGUGGCAGCCUGCAAGGAGUUUACAGUCAACUCUGGAAGCAGACAGACCCUGAGUUUUUGAUUGAUGACCGGGCAUUCCUCUAUUAUUCCUUUCUCUUAGGGCUUAGAUGACGGCCUGAAAGAGCAAGAGAACCUCAAAGAAACACUAAACCACACCUGUAUGGGCAAUACUAUUGCUAGUCUACAGGGGAUACAGGGAUGAAAAAAAUAGUUAUUGCCCUCAGGAAACCUUCAGCUUACAGAUACUUUACUGGUUGUUACAAAACAAAAAAGACGCUUUUGGCAUCUUCUGCUAAACCAUUAAUGAUGACUCCAUCCAUUGGACUACUCAAGGUCCCUUUUAUCAAGACACAUUCCUCUUUAACUUCAGCCAUAUUUCCAUUUUUUAUCAAAUAAUGAUACCUUGGCUAUCAAGAAGCUCAGAGUUCACAUUCGUGUUUGCUGGAAGUAAGGACUCUAAAACCUUCUCUCCUCCUCUUUCAGAUGAUUGGGAAUAGGCUCCAGGACCACUAGCCAAAUGCACAUCAGAGUAUUAGCUUAAUUGAUGAUGAGGAGGAGAGAGAUGGGAAAGUUCCACCCAACCCUCCCAACUAGAAGGCUGGGGAGUACAUAUUUUUCCUCUACAAAAAGGUGAAGAAGAGAAAAUGCGGAUUAUCCCCAAGGGUACUUAACUGCAGUAGCCGGCUUAACCUGGAUGUCUACUAUAAUUGUCCUUUUCCUCCUGCAGUGAUGUUUCUGAUUUUUCUCUCCGUUUGUAUCUUGAGCUUUGCUGUUAUAAAUGUAUUUAUAUUUUAAUCGUAAGCAACCUGAAUUUUUGUAUCAUAUUAUACACAAGUAAAUAGUCAUAAUCUUGGAGUUCUAAGGCUAUGUGCAAGACACAAUGAACAAAUCAAGACAUGGGAUGAGUGAGGCCUAAGA